GAACGCUGGCGGCAGGCCUAACACAUGCAAGUCGAACGCACUCUUCGGAGUGAGUGGCAGACGGGUGAGUACACGUGGGAACGUACCCUUCGGUUCGGAAUAACUCAGGGAAACUUGAGCUAAUACCGGAUACGUCCGAGAGGAGAAAGAUUUAUCGCCGAUGGAUCGGCCCGCGUCUGAUUAGCUAGUUGGUGAGGUAAUGGCUCACCAAGGCAACGAUCAGUAGCUGGUCUGAGAGGAUGAUCAGCCACAUUGGGACUGAGACAC
RNAcentral lists this ribosomal RNA (267 nucleotides) under uncultured Beijerinckiaceae bacterium. RNAcentral's name for it is "partial 16S ribosomal RNA". It matches the Rfam family "Bacterial small subunit ribosomal RNA", at positions 31 to 327 of the family's 1533-position model. Lineage: Bacteria; Pseudomonadati; Pseudomonadota; Alphaproteobacteria; Hyphomicrobiales; Beijerinckiaceae. The record is from RNAcentral.